UACCCGCGGCCCGAGUGGUGCUCAUUCUUAUUGAGUCUAAAACGUCCGUCGCCGGCUCGGUCGAUGCCUGGGUAAAUCGGAUCGCUCAACGGUCCGAAUUCCGGGUAGACCGCCGAGCUCGGGACCGGGAGAGGUGCGAGGUACGCCGGGGGUAGGGGUAAAAUCCUGUAAUCCUCGGCGGACCACCAGUGGCGAAGGCGUCGCACUAGAACGGAUCCGACGGUCAGGGACGAAGCCCAGGGGCGCAAACGGG
This 253-nucleotide ribosomal RNA is filed under the name uncultured bacterium. Its description in RNAcentral is "partial 16S ribosomal RNA". It matches the Rfam family "Archaeal small subunit ribosomal RNA", at positions 474 to 727 of the family's 1478-position model. The record is from RNAcentral.